RNAcentral lists this small nuclear RNA (82 nucleotides) under Heterodera glycines (soybean cyst nematode). RNAcentral describes it as "SmY spliceosomal RNA". It matches the Rfam family "SmY spliceosomal RNA". The record is from Rfam by way of RNAcentral. Lineage: Eukaryota; Metazoa; Nematoda; Chromadorea; Rhabditida; Heteroderidae.
GUGUACACCCUUUUGUGCGGAGGGCCUUUUGCUGAAGACCCUUUUUUGACAAUUUUUGGCAGGCCCAACGGAAUUGGGCCUU